AUCAUUUCUCGGGUUUGUGGCUGAGAUCAAGCAUAGUAUCUGUUCU
RNAcentral lists this small nuclear RNA (46 nucleotides) under Cervus elaphus hippelaphus. Lineage: Eukaryota; Metazoa; Chordata; Mammalia; Artiodactyla; Cervidae. The record is from RNAcentral.